CCACACUGUGGAAGUCCUUGCAAUCAGCGCCCUUCCGCACUCUGUUGCUUGGCCCUGCAGAUCUGUUUUCCCUACCUCUUGGCCUUCCCUUGGGUUUCUAGAAGGACUUUCAUGUCUUUAUUUUAGUCCCCUUUCUGCUAUCAAGGCUCCUUUAGUUUUCUUAGGCAAUUUUUACAAAGCCUUUAAUGCAAAAUAAACUGAAUGGCUAGCCAAGAAGGCAGCUGGAAAGUGCCCAGAUUUGGCUGUUGUGUAUUGGACCCCACCCCCUUCUGCAUCCAUGACAGGCAUAGCAAUGCGGCUGCCCUAGAGGCCACUUCAGGUUUGGAAAACCGCAGCUUGCUCCUAGAAUCCUGAACUUGAACCUCAUUUGAGACAGCAAAUGACCAGGAUGAUUUGCCCUAUUGAAGCCUGUUAAAACCGGACAAAAUUUUUGAAAGAAAGGGAAACAGUUCCUUGGAUUGUAUUCAGGGAUUUGCUUUGAGAAGGAAUUUGAGUUUUUAGGGGGAAGCCAAAGACAAGAUUCAAGUGAAGCCUGGCCUGAGAAUGCACCAGGAACUAAGAUGAAGAUUGACUAACUCGCAAUCAAGCUUUCACUGAAUCUAUAGGUGCAGAGACCAUGGGUACAAGGGAAUGACUGUACUUACCAAGUACCCACAGCGUGCCUGGCGCUUCGCCUGGCCAACGAGAAUACAAAAGCAAAAAAAUAGCUUCCUCUGUUCAGAGUUCAUAAUGAAGAGGGGGAAAAAUGCAAGCUGCAGAAAACCUGGAUACAGUAAGGUGCUAAAAAGAGUACACUGCUUAAACUAUUACAUUAAGGAAUGAUUUUUGUUUCCUCUAAUCAGUUUAAUUGGACAGAGCUUACUAUAUAAGCCAGAGAGGAAGUGUCCAGUUAGGGACUGCUGUUCCAUAGCUUGUUCGAGCAGCACUCAUACUUAGUCUUGUUUUUAACCAAACCUAAAAUGGUGAUGACAGUUCAAAAUUUUCAGCUAGCAGUAAUUAUGAGACCCAGUGUAGUACUAAAGGAACAUCUCCUAGAGUCUUGGCAUAGAUCUGGAGAACUAGAGAAUUGAUGGUGGUACAAGUGAUACACACAUCCCUGCGACUGCAGCUCCCUUAACAUUUCGUGAUUAUAUGACCUAUUGUGAUUGUCAGAAUGUCCUGGGG
This is a long non-coding RNA of Heterocephalus glaber (naked mole-rat), 1164 nucleotides long. The record is from Ensembl. Lineage: Eukaryota; Metazoa; Chordata; Mammalia; Rodentia; Bathyergidae.